UGUUGGACUACAACUCCCACCAUCCCUGAGCCCUGGCCUUGCUAGCUAGGGAUGAUGGGAGUUGUAGUCCAACA
This is a non-coding RNA of Podarcis lilfordi (Lilford's wall lizard), 74 nucleotides long. Lineage: Eukaryota; Metazoa; Chordata; Lepidosauria; Squamata; Lacertidae. The record is from the annotation of a GenBank genome assembly.